UGAAUACAAAGUGCUUCUCCUCCACGACGCGCCAGUUCCAGCCGACUGAACCCAUCAGCACACAGGCAGGUCAUGCCAGGGGGUGACGAGAGCUCAGAAGACUGUCAGCCAAGCUGGUCUAGACAGCCUCCCCAGGCAGACCCUCUGCUUGGGGGAGCGGGGCUGCAGCAGAGAAGUGAAUGAGGAGAGCGCACAGAGCCGGGGACCUGCUCCUGUGGAGUCCAGGCCAGCGGACCAGGCUGCGUGGAGUCGGCUGGGACUGGGAGCCAGGCAGACGGAGGGGUUCACCGCCCCGGGAGUGAACGCGGAGAGAGGGGAGGAGGUGGAUCGCUCCAGGUCUGCCCACACUGACCCUGCAAGGGGCAGCCUGGGGGCCAGUGAGAGACUGCGGGGGAGCAGCCUGUGGGCAUCCAGGGGAGAGGGUGUCUGCACCCCGCCACCAAGAAAAUUAAAGACGCAACUUCCAUGAGGUAGUGCAGCGGUUCUCAAAGAGGGGUGGUUUUGUACCCCCCACCUCCACCCGGGGGAUGUGAGCAAGGUCUGGAGAGAGGUUUGGCGUUCACAACAGUGACACAGGGUGAGGGGCUACUGGCAUCUGGAAUACAGACUGGGGGUUGCUGUUUAAUAUCCUGAGGUGCACAGGAAGGCCCCCCACCACCGCUCUCCCGAAUUACCCAGGCCCAGGGUUGCUGAAGUCGAAGCUCCAAUACUUUGGCCACUUGAUGCGAAGAGCCAACUCACUGGAAAAGACCGUGAUGCUGGGAAAGAGUGAGGGUAGGAGGAGAAGGGGACAACAGAGGAUGAGAUGGUUGGAUGGUGUCACCGACUCAAUGGACAUGAGUUUGAGCGAACUCUGGGAGAUGGUGGUGGACAGGGAGGCCUGGCGGGCUGCAGUCCCUGGGUCACAGAGAGUUGGACACGACUCAGCAACUACACAAGAGAGCAGCUGGUGAGGCUGGGAACCCCUGACGUGGAGUGAGAAUUUGCAGCGUGUGAGGUUGGCGCCCAGUGUCCCUCAGAGCAGGGCCCCCCUGGGACCCAGGCCUAGAGACAGGUUCACAGGGGCUUGAAGACACUUCCCGGGAUGGGACCGAGGACAGCAAGGGGCAGUGUCAUGUCAAACCUCGAGUGGGGCUCACCAGACCUCGUAUUUAAUAACCGAAGAUGAUGGUGAAGCAGUGUUGAACACACAUGCUUUAGUUUAGCAGCGGUUCCGGUUAUAUUAGCAGGGAUGGUCCCUUUAAACAGUGGCAAGGAGGGUGCUAAGAGCACGGGGGUCACGGGGAUCCCAGGCAUGACAGAAACAGGUCAUUCCCAGAGUCGGUCCUCCGAGCGCUCAAGGAUACAGGCCAGGCCAGCGGGGACCGCGAGGACCAAACCUCAGCUCAGAGCACAGACUCUGAAGAGGGCGGGAGGGAAGGCACCAUCUCUGUCUCCAUAAACCAGUGGAACAUGGUUUGCAACAAAUAUUGGGGCAGAGGGUUUUAUGUACCUGCUGGACCUACGGAGGUGCCGGCAGGACUCCAGUGUGAGGACUGAGCCAGCAGUGGAGGUGUGAAGGGCCGGGAGGAAAAGGGAGGCGCCCGGCAGCACGUUCAGUUGGCAGGACAGCCUCCCUGGGACCCUGGGGAAGCUGCGUCUCCGCACCGGCUUUGAUUCCCAUGAAGCUGAAAAAGGAAGCCUGUCUCAAAAGGAGCACCGCUACCUGCAGACCCUGCCCACCAGAGACCCUUCCCUCCUUCGGAUCUGCCUGAAAGGAUCAGGGGUCAGAAGGUGCCACGGGUGACCUGCGGUGACCUCUGUCUUCCCUUUCUCACCGUGGGGCCAGCCUUGCUGUCACCGGUGCUGGGACCCACCAGCAGCCUUGAAGGGCUAACAGGGAAGGCUAUCCUUAUCCAGAAAUGCCCUGGUGGGUUUGCCCUGGUGACUCAGAUGGCAAAGAAUCUGCCUGCAGUGCAGGAGACCCGGGUUCGACCCCUGGGUCAGGAGGAUCCCCUGGAGGAGGAGAUGGCCACCCACUCCAGUAUUCUUGCCUGGAGAAUCCCAUGGACAGAAAAGCCUGGAGAGCUACAGUCCAUGGGGUCGCAGAGAAUAGGACACGACUGAGCGACUAUCAUGACAGAGAACGGCCUCAACAGAGCUCCCUCGUUCUUGGACUGAGUGGUGGCUCUGAGACAGAGAUAGGUCCCCAGGCUUCUUCCAGGAGAGAGCGCUUUGCUUCAGGUGACAUGUGGAGGGCCGGGCGGAGCAGCUGCUGCAGCCUGCCAGGUCUCCCCUCCACAGGCCUCCUCCGAGCCAUCCUCUCAGUGUGGCCCGGACCCCCAGGCUUCAGGGUUCAUCUCUGCCGGGUCGGAUUUGAGCCAGAGUCCUGUUCAGUCACUUGGACCAGAAGGCCCCACCCUGGGUAUGGGACCCUGGAGACUUCUGAUCAUGUUCCCCAUCUUCCAUGUCCCCUACGAGAGGUCUGACCACCCUGCCUGCCUGCAGCAAGAGUCCUGUCAGGAUGGUUUAGCCAGGACCCCCGCCCCCACCCCCCGAGGCUGGAUGUUUUCUCUUAGAAUCGUUCCACCCCCUGACCGCCCCCUCCCGCACCACCCUGCACCGUGGCUGCAAAUCUCCACCUUCCCUCGUGGUCGCUGGCGCGGAGCCCAAGCCCUCUCUCCUGCUGCAAAACCCCGGCAGGGCUCCCUACAGCUGUCACCAGGGCAUAAAUAAAGGCUUUGCUGUUCUUUCUCAAGUGUCGGAAAUAA
Molecule: long non-coding RNA, 2750 nt
Organism: Cervus elaphus (red deer)
Lineage: Eukaryota; Metazoa; Chordata; Mammalia; Artiodactyla; Cervidae
Exons: 3
Source: RefSeq, a predicted model, not a curated record